RNAcentral lists this ribosomal RNA (253 nucleotides) under uncultured bacterium. Its description in RNAcentral is "partial 16S ribosomal RNA". It matches the Rfam family "Bacterial small subunit ribosomal RNA", at positions 524 to 776 of the family's 1533-position model. The record is from RNAcentral.
UACGGAGGGGGCUAGCGUUGUUCGGAAUUACUGGGCGUAAAGCGCACGUAGGCGGCUUUGUAAGUUAGAGGUGAAAGCCCGGGGCUCAACUCCGGAACUGCCUUUAAGACUGCAUCGCUUGAACAUCGGAGAGGUGAGUGGAAUUCCGAGUGUAGAGGUGAAAUUCGUAGAUAUUCGGAAGAACACCAGUGGCGAAGGCGACUCACUGGACGAUUGUUGACGCUGAGGUGCGAAAGCGUGGGGAGCAAACAGG